AAAGACCCUCACAGCAGGCUGGAUGCAGAGAUGAAGAGAUGUGCACCAUUGUUGAUGGCAACCGGAGAGACGCACCGCUCAGAAGCAGUCUAUACAGAAGAGGGAGUGUGUGCAUGUGUGGGGUCCUGCGUGGAUGUGUCGCCUGUCCACCUGUCUCCAUGGAGGAGAUCUGACACUUCUUGCAGCUUCUCAUGUGCUUGAAGACCAACAGCUGCCUGCCUGGCCCUUCAUUCCCCAUGGAAACGGCAAGUAAAAAGACUGCAGCUGCUGCUCUUAAGACGUUGAGUGAAAAAGUACAAGAGACAAUUCAAGUUGCCAGACGAUGACGUCAGACAUCCUGGACUCUGCCAUUGGACAGCUCACCACCACGUGACCAAAGCUUCCUCCGGGUUGGACCAGAAUUAAGCGUUUGGAUGAUUGCUGGACCUUCUGCAGGCUCACUGCUGUGCGGAUUUGGAUCUCAGGGUCAGAAAGUGCAACCUUCCUGCCACUUAGGAGCAAUAAUCCCAUGGAUGAUUAUGGACAGACAUUUUGGAGCAAUGUGAAGCAGAAGCAGAGAACGGCCUACAAAAAACACGCAGCAACGACGUAAAUUUGGUUGCAGAAGCCCAGGAUGAGGCACAAGAAGAAGCAUGGGAGCAAGAAUGCUACCCAGUGGUCUUCAUGGAACUCUCCACCAACCUCCAACUCCUGCUGUCCUGUCUCCCAAUAUCAUGGAUUAUUUCCCUCUGUCUCAUUGUGAGGCCUUCAUUGAUCCAUAUAUCCAAUCAGACCUUGCCAAUUAUAUUCCUGUCCAAGCCCCGAUCAUCAUCACCAAAUUCCAAAACAGUCCCAGGGCCCGUUACUGGCCGUCUUAUGUAAACGAUACAUUUAAUUUUACUCAUUAGUUUGAAUCCCACAGCACACCGUAGUAUUUCAGUUCAAAAACUGUCCAUGAACAUUACAGUGAAUCUGCAGCUCCUCUUGAGCACAGCGUGCAAAAAAACCCACAACAGCAUAUUUGUGUGGGUGUUUCAAGUAAUGUUGCAUGCUUAAAUCAAUGGGAUAGUUGUCCUAUUUAAUGUCACUUUAUGCUUCUUUUCUGUAUUAUGCACUGUAAAAUGAAUGUAGUGAAUGCUGUAAAUUAUUUUGUCAAAUGCAACAAUCCUUUGAUACA
Nerophis lumbriciformis (worm pipefish) is the source of this 1156-nucleotide non-coding RNA. The record is from RefSeq and is a predicted model, not a curated record. Lineage: Eukaryota; Metazoa; Chordata; Actinopteri; Syngnathiformes; Syngnathidae.